UAGGCAGCAACAAGAAAGCGUGCUAGUUAUGAGUUCCGCUUGCUUGCUGAUACAAUGCUGCCAGAGCAAAAUGUCAAGAACAGUUCAGUUUAGCGUAGUCUAUAAACUGAUCUACACGUGACAUUACAUUG
Drosophila albomicans is the source of this 131-nucleotide non-coding RNA. The record is from RefSeq and is a predicted model, not a curated record. NCBI's taxonomy places the organism in Eukaryota, Metazoa, Arthropoda, Insecta, Diptera, Drosophilidae.